This is a long non-coding RNA of Photinus pyralis (common eastern firefly), 889 nucleotides long. RefSeq lists it as uncharacterized. Lineage: Eukaryota; Metazoa; Arthropoda; Insecta; Coleoptera; Lampyridae. The record is from RefSeq and is a predicted model, not a curated record. The transcript is spliced from 2 exons.
AAGGUAGGUAGGUACUAAUGACAAAGCGAAAUAUUUGGAGACAAAAAACACACGUUUCUUUAUGAUGUAAAUGACACUUUUACCGUCGAGGAUUCAACUUGCACUAAAUUCGUUUAGACUUAGACUGCCGCGGUGGUGUAAAGCAAGAAGCUUGUAAAAUCGAUCGUUUCAGUUUUACUGACGCGGCAAUAAGCCUCUCGCAUGCAUGCCCCUAAUGUUUGUUUUGAUUUGACCGGAAAAAGUAAAAUAGGUAAAUUGCGUUAAUCGGGUUUGCGGCGCGUGUUCCGAUCCCGAUAUUUUAUUUCGUCUCGGACGGGAGGCUUCUGUUGUCGUUUCAAUACUUCCUUCAACCACUGAACCUUCAACGCCGCGUCGGGAAGGGAUCAACAGCACAUAUUGGCCUUGCGCGUCGUUUCGUUUUGCUUCCGAGUUUUGUUUGAAUUUGAAGUGCUAUUUUCAUGGCGAGUUUUUUCGUAGUGGGGGUACGAUGUUCUAUUGUUUAGUCUCGUGCAAAAUCAAAACGAGUCAGAAUGAAACAACUUAUAUCUACGUGUCCGCGCGUUUGAGAUAAUCGGCUAAUUACCUUUUACGUUCACUUAUUACAAUGUAUUCGCGCAUUCGUAAAAUCUCCUCGGGCUCGCGCCAAAAAAUCAUAAUUUUAGAACGGCAUCUUAAAAAUUUAUCUUCCGCACGGCACAAUUCCACAAUAAUAAAAUCACCAAUACCGGAUGUGAAUAUUCCCAAUGUAACUUUACCGGAAUUCAUUUUUGCAGAUUUUCUGAAAUAUCCCCACAAAACUGCCCUGGAAUGUAAUUUGACCGGCAAAAAGUUUACCUUCGAAGAAGUUUUAAUGAAAUCAAUAAACUUGAACAAAGCGCUCAGAAAAAAA